This 295-nucleotide long non-coding RNA is filed under the name Salvia miltiorrhiza (redroot sage). RNAcentral describes it as "long non-coding RNA (SMIL_LNC003772)". Lineage: Eukaryota; Viridiplantae; Streptophyta; Magnoliopsida; Lamiales; Lamiaceae. The record is from RNAcentral.
AAUGGAAGGAAAGCACUAGAACUAAACUUAAGGUAUAACCCAACCCCAAGGCUAGUAGGCUCAAGCUAAGAGAGUGAAUGCUUUGACUAAAGUGCCAGAAGCUACAGCAAGAAUAAAGUUGGAACGCCACCACAAUGGAAACUUAGAAAACCACAUUAAAUAAUCAUUUGAAAAUGAGAAAAUGAGUUUACAUGGCAGAAGGAGUGCCAUUAAUCUUUAAGUGAAAGUUACCAAGAUGAUGAGAAAAGUUUGAUAUUAGAAUUCCCUAGUCAAAUCUGAGAAGGUGACUUAGGAC